RNAcentral lists this ribosomal RNA (490 nucleotides) under Paenibacillus sp. 79R4. RNAcentral describes it as "partial 23S ribosomal RNA". It matches the Rfam family "Bacterial large subunit ribosomal RNA", at positions 1 to 480 of the family's 2925-position model. The record is from RNAcentral. Lineage: Bacteria; Bacillati; Bacillota; Bacilli; Caryophanales; Paenibacillaceae.
AUGGUUAAGCUACUAAGAGCACACGGAGGAUGCCUAGGCACUAGGAGCCGAAGAAGGACGUGGCGAACAACGAUACUGCCUCGGGGAGCUGUAAGCAAGCGUCGAUCCGGGGAUGUCCGAAUGGGGAAACCCGGCUGGAUUAAUCUCCAGUCACUCAUACCUGAAUACAUAGGGUGUGAAGAGGCAAACCAGGGGAACUGAAACAUCUAAGUACCCUGAGGAAGAGAAAACAAAAGUGAUUCCGUCAGUAGCGGCGAGCGAACGCGGAGUAGCCCAAACCAGGGAGCUUGCUCUCUGGGGUUGUAGGACGUCUCACAUGGAGUUACCAAGGAUUAGGGUAGGCGAAGAGGUCUGGAAAGGCCCGCUAGAAGAGGUAAAAGCCCUGUAACCGAAAGUCUAAUCCCUCCGAGACGGAUCCUGAGUAGUGCGGGGCACGUGAAACCCCGUAUGAAUCCGGCAGGACCAUCUGCCAAGGCUAAAUACUCCCUAG